CCCUUAGAUGUUCUGGGCCGCGCGCGCGCUACACUGUUCGACGCAGCGAGUCUUAACCUUGACCGAAAGGUUUGGGUAAUCUUCAGCAAAGUCGAACGUGAUGGGGAUCGAUCAUUGCAAUUAUUGAUCGUGAACGAGGAAUUCCUAGUAAGUGCAAGUCAUCAGCUUGCGCUGAUUACGUCCCUGCCCUUUGUACACACCGCCCGUCGCUACUACCGAUUGAAUGGUUUAGUGAGAUCUCUGGAUUGACGCUGGCUAGGGGGCGACCCUUGGCCAGACUGUUGAGAAACUGCUCAAACUUGAUCAUUUAGAGGAAGUAAAAGUCGUAACA
Molecule: ribosomal RNA, 331 nt
Filed under: uncultured eukaryote
Lineage: Eukaryota
Description: partial 18S ribosomal RNA
Rfam family: Eukaryotic small subunit ribosomal RNA
Source: RNAcentral